UACAGAGGGUGCAAGCGUUAAUCGGAAUUACUGGGCGUAAAGCGUGCGCAGGCGGUUGUGCAAGACCGAUGUGAAAUCCCCGGGCUUAACCUGGGAAUGGCAUUGGUGACUGCACGGCUAGAGUGUGUCAGAGGGGGGUAAAAUUCCACGUGUAGCAGUGAAAUGCGUAGAGAUGUGGAGGAAUACCGAUGGCGAAGGCAGCCCCCUGGGAUAACACUGACGCUCAUGCACGAAAGCGUGGGGAGCAAACAGG
This 253-nucleotide ribosomal RNA is filed under the name uncultured bacterium. RNAcentral's name for it is "partial 16S ribosomal RNA". It matches the Rfam family "Bacterial small subunit ribosomal RNA", at positions 524 to 776 of the family's 1533-position model. The record is from RNAcentral.